Molecule: non-coding RNA, 196 nt
Organism: Serratia marcescens FGI94
Lineage: Bacteria; Pseudomonadati; Pseudomonadota; Gammaproteobacteria; Enterobacterales; Yersiniaceae
Source: Rfam
CAAGCCAGAAGAGGCGCGUCGCCCAGGUACAGUGUCGGAGGAGCCGUUAUCCCAUGACGGCACUGGAGGGGGAGCGACGCCGAGGUAUGUCGCCCAUUCGGCUAAGCGACGUGUCGGCUACAGGGGCUGAAUCCCCUGGGUUGUCACCAUGAUCGUCCCUAACGGACGGUCGGCAAGGUGGGGCGCUUCUGGGUGU